UACGUAGGUGGCAAGCGUUGUCCGGAUUUACUGGGCGUAAAGAGCGCGCAGGCGGUCGAUCAAGUCGCGUGUGAAAGCCCCCGGCUCAACUGGGGAGGGUCACGCGAUACUGAUCGACUCGAAGGCAGGAGAGGGAUGUGGAAUUCCAGGUGUAGCGGUGAAAUGCGUAGAUAUCUGGAGGAACACCGGUGGCGAAGGCGGCAUCCUGGACCGACAUUGACGCUGAGGCGCGAAAGCCAGGGGAGCAAACGGG
RNAcentral lists this ribosomal RNA (253 nucleotides) under uncultured bacterium. Its description in RNAcentral is "partial 16S ribosomal RNA". It matches the Rfam family "Bacterial small subunit ribosomal RNA", at positions 524 to 776 of the family's 1533-position model. The record is from RNAcentral.